Molecule: transfer RNA, 86 nt
Filed under: Didymella heteroderae
Lineage: Eukaryota; Fungi; Ascomycota; Dothideomycetes; Pleosporales; Didymellaceae
Rfam family: tRNA
About the family: Transfer RNA (tRNA) molecules are approximately 80 nucleotides in length. Their secondary structure includes four short double-helical elements and three loops (D, anti-codon, and T loops).
Source: Rfam by way of RNAcentral
UCUUCGAUGGUCUAGUGGUCAUGAUUUCCGCUUGUCAUCCCAGAUAACAAGCGCGGGAGACCGGGGUUCGAUUCCCCGUCGGAGAG